Molecule: long non-coding RNA, 1177 nt
Organism: Quercus robur (English oak)
Lineage: Eukaryota; Viridiplantae; Streptophyta; Magnoliopsida; Fagales; Fagaceae
Exons: 5
Source: RefSeq, a predicted model, not a curated record
UUCUUCUUCUUCUUCUUCAGACCUUUAGCAUGACUAACGCCAACCUCCCUCUCUUCCAAAGACAGAUUCAAUACUUCAAGCCUUCAGCUUUCUAACUCAAACCUCUCUCUUCCCUUCUUUGUCUCUUCCUCUCCUUAUAUAAGUGAAUGACUCCUUCAUACCUUAUCACUAUCUCCCCUCCUUUUGCUCUUCCUAUCUUUCACGGUUUCAAAACUCCUCAUUUAAUUGAAUCAGAAAACAGCUUAUUUAAAGAAGAGCUCAAGAAUACUGACAAAAUGUGGAUGAUUCACUUCAGUAAUUCAAUCAACAUUCUGUUUCCUUUUGUGAGAGGCAAAUUGGUCUAACCACAGGCCCAGGUUCAAGGCCACCGUCAACUUUAAUGGCAAGGAGUUGUUAGCUGCAUCCUUUGUACGAGUCGUCAAGUUGUUGCCGUUGGCUGUAGAGAAAAGCUUAGAAAUUAGGGUAAGGAAAAUUACCCCAAUCUGUGAUUAUUUUUUAUUAGGCUUAUAUCAAGUUGAGGUUAUACAAUUUCAGGGAGAUCAGAGGAAGAAUGUUCCCACCUUCCUUGUGCAAGCUGGCAUUGUGAAGAAGGAACAUAUCAAGAUUCAUUGUUUUUGAAUAGUUGUAGCCUGCAGUUCGUAUUGAUUUGCUAGAUGUGAAUGGUGAUGUGGGCGGACUUAGACGAAGAUAAUGAGCUACUUGUCUUUUAUCUUAAGACUAAAGAAGAAUGUUGUGUACCUGAUGGUGCACUCCCACACAUAGAUAGAGUGGAAGAAAACCAUAAACUGGAGUUCUAUGGAGUUCUUGAAAACUUGCCUUAAGUUAUGAUUAGGAGUUCUAUGAUGAUUGUAUGUAACUUAUUAUAGAACAUGGUGGAAAAAUUGAAUCUAAAGGAAAGAGGAACCAUUUUGGAUUAGCACAUGUUGACAAGUUUGGGGUUUGAUGGUGCCAUAGAAGUUUCAGUGGAAGUCUUCUCUCAGUUGCUAAGCUGUCACGUAUGUAAAUUAGGUUACUUAUUGAAAAAAAAAUUGUAAAUUAGGCUAGAUAUUGAAAGUUCUUGCUGAAUGCUAUAGUUGCUAAAAGCUAUGUUUAGCUACUAAACUACUUGAGAUGUUCCUUAAAAUUUUGGGAUAUAAGUUAAUAAGAAAUGCUUUUUACAUUAUGCUUUCAGAUAUAA